This 497-nucleotide ribosomal RNA is filed under the name uncultured bacterium. RNAcentral describes it as "partial 16S ribosomal RNA". It matches the Rfam family "Bacterial small subunit ribosomal RNA", at positions 28 to 507 of the family's 1533-position model. The record is from RNAcentral.
GAUGAACGCUGGCGGCGUGCCUAAUACAUGCAAGUCGAGCGAACGGACGAGAGGCUUGCUUCUCUGAUGUUAGCGGCGGACGGGUGAGUAACACGUGGAUAACCUACCUAUAAGACUGGGAUAACUUCGGGAAACCGGAGCUAAUACCGGAUAAUAUUUUGAACCGCAUGGUUCAAAAGUGAAAGACGGUCUUGCUGUCACUUAUAGAUGGAUCCGCGCUGCAUUAGCUAGUUGGUAAGGUAACGGCUUACCAAGGCAACGAUGCAUAGCCGACCUGAGAGGGUGAUCGGCCACACUGGAACUGAGACACGGUCCAGACCCCUACGGGAGGCAGCAGUAGGGAAUCUUCCGCAAUGGGCGAAAGCCUGACGGAGCAACGCCGCGUGAGUGAUGAAGGUCUUCGGAUCGUAAAACUCUGUUAUUAGGGAAGAACAUAUGUGUAAGUAACUGUGCACAUCUUGACGGUACCUAAUCAGAAAGCCACGGCUAACUACGUG